GACGAACGCUGGCGGCGUGCUUAACACAUGCAAGUCACGGGGGCCCGCCCUUCGGGGAGGGCAACCGGCGAACGGGUGCGUAACACGUGAGCGACCUGCCCCGGUCAGGGGGAUAGCCGG
RNAcentral lists this ribosomal RNA (120 nucleotides) under uncultured bacterium. Its description in RNAcentral is "partial 16S ribosomal RNA". It matches the Rfam family "Bacterial small subunit ribosomal RNA", at positions 28 to 150 of the family's 1533-position model. The record is from RNAcentral.